GACAGAUUGAUGACGUUUUAUAUGUUCAUGUUCUUUCUCAAUAGUUCAAAAUCGAUGAUACCGCAACACUUUUUGAGUUUUAUCUCACAAAUCCAGCUGACACAAAAGAGCCAAAAACGUGACAGAGUGACUGAGAGAGAAAAUGACAGAAUGAAAAAGAGCGAACGAGAGAGAGAGAGAUAGAAGGGUUUGGAUGUACCUGCAAUAAUCCAUUCUCGAGCUAGAAAAAGUACCAACGCAUUCAUAUUGCCAGUGUAAUGUUUGAUGUGCUUUAAAGCACUUGUGAUCUUUUGAUGUGUUUUAUUCACUACUCUGCUGCUUAACUGGCUGUGUGAAAUUUUUUUUUUUCCAGCAGUCAUAAAAGAGCAAAAUAAAAAGCUUUAACCAAACACGCGCAACAACAAAACACGAAAAUAAAAAGUGCAGUGACAAUAUCCCCAAAAGGCACGUGAGGAAAGCCAGAUAGAAAGAGAAAUAAUAUCAAACUUCAAAGAAAACUUAUAAUAUGAUUUGUUUCAUUUGUCGCGCUCAGCCUUCGGCAGGCUAUAGUUUUGAUUCAUUCCAGAUGACUACAUUGCAUUAAUAUAGCAAAUUGGUAACAUUAAUGUUCCAGCUGAUGAAUUGUUAUGUUUUUCCUGUUGGAAUACAUUAUCAUCAUUGAGAGGACGAAUACUGGUCUUCAAAAGUGAACUACUGCCGCCAAAAAAUUACAGAUUGUGUUCUUUGUGCCGUAACAUCAUUCGGCCAGGCGAUCAUAGUUCUAAAACAUAGUUCCAGCUCGGUUGAUUUAAUUUAUAAAGCAAACAAAUGACAUCGAUGUUUCAACCACUGAUUUGUUAUGUGUCGCAUGUUGGAAAGAAUGUUGGUUGGCUUUGUAUGACCCAAAAACGUUGAUCGAAAAAACAGAGAUAGUUCAGAAGAUCCGAAAAAUUGAGAUGUGCGAAUUCGUCCGGAAAGAAGCCGUUGUCCAACUGAACACAAAAUUUACACCAUAAAUCCACUGGAUCAAUCAAAUCAUCCUAUCCCAAAUGUUAGAAUACCCACAUUAAGAAAAGCACAAGCAAAGCAAAGCAACAAAAACAAAAUCAAAAUCGUUCAUCUCAUAAAAUAACCAGAGCGUGUUAUGAGCUGAUGUCAGCAGCACUAACUAACGACAGCUGCUGAUAUCAGCUGCUGAUGAGUAUGUGAUGAGUUAUUGUAACGCAUCCACAGUACCAAAUUCAUAUUGCCCUCCAUAUUAAGAGAAAAAUUUAAGGUAAAACUGCCAGUUCCAUUGAAAAAGCUCUUUGAACACUCAUUGCCCAGAUGUACGAGUAGAGUCGGUCCAGAGCAUGUACGGGUUGAAAGUUAAAAAUGAACAUGACUUUUUAUGAGCGAAAAAAUGUUGAUAAAUAAAACCAUUUGAAUCGAAAAUUUGAUAGUGAAAAAUGAUAGCAAUUAACCCGCAGACGGGCAAGUCGGACCAAAGUGGACCCAUAGUUUAAUGGCUGUAAACGUGCCAUAUGCCGAUAAAAUUGAAUGAAAACCAACAGAGAUAUAAUACUCUGUUUUUUUUUUCCAAAUUUUGUGGUUUUCAAGUAGUACAUACAAUUUGACAUAUUAAGAGCUGAAUUUUGAGUAUACACCAUAGCUCCACUGAUGCUGAACUAAUUUUGUUAAAGCAUGGCACGUUUGAAAGAUGCAUCUUUCUACUUCCCCACUAUAUACUACUUUUUAUGAUACAUUGCUUUUUACACAGAAAAUAUUACCAAUUCUGAUGGAGAAAUGGCUAUUUUUUGCGGUUUUUGACAUUUGACGAAAAUUCAAAUGAAUAACAUGUCUCUGUAACUUUUCUAAGGUUCAUCCAAUUUUAUCGGUAUAUUGCGCGUUGGAAUGAUUCAUCUUUCUAGUUUUUGGAAUAAUACUACUUUGGAUGAUAUAUUAUGUAUUCCCAAUUUUACAGCCAUAAAACCAUGGUAUCCAGCAAAUCGAUUUAGCUCCACGGAGCGUCAUCUAAUGAUCGAUGUUCAAUUUUUUGUUUGUUGUAAUACGUGGAAAGAAUCGAAGAAUACAAUGCAGCACCUUUUCCGCACAAGAAUAUAGUUUUUAUAUAUAAUAUUUAUUGAAAAACUACCUUCUUGGACCACAACGGACCCACUUGCCCGGUUGAGAGUUAACACGUGCAAAAUUUUUCAAAGUAACUAAUUGGCUUAAUCAUUUGGUUGACGCUUACCAUCGUUCAAAUAACAAUUUUUUUGGUUGAUAAAUUUCACCGAAAAAAAAAACACGAAAGAGAUUAGAACAAAACAAAAACCAAUCCAUUUACUAAUGAUGAAAUAUUUAUUAUACUUUUCAUUUAGUUUAACAACAUAUAAUACAAUAUUUGGAUAAAUUCAUAAAAUCAUGACUCUCUAAAUAAAGUGCAAGUAGGACAUGUGCACAUUUUUUUUUACUUUUACUUUUCCUUGAAAAUGUCCUUCUCUGUUGUUGUUUGUUCAAAUUUUCAAUAAAAUAAAUCGUUCGUCACCAAA
This is a long non-coding RNA of Sitodiplosis mosellana (orange wheat blossom midge), 2510 nucleotides long. RefSeq lists it as uncharacterized. The record is from RefSeq and is a predicted model, not a curated record. The transcript is spliced from 3 exons. Lineage: Eukaryota; Metazoa; Arthropoda; Insecta; Diptera; Cecidomyiidae.